RNAcentral lists this ribosomal RNA (301 nucleotides) under uncultured bacterium. RNAcentral describes it as "partial 16S ribosomal RNA". It matches the Rfam family "Bacterial small subunit ribosomal RNA", at positions 509 to 807 of the family's 1533-position model. The record is from RNAcentral.
CAGUCGCCACGGUAACACGAAGGGGGCUAGCGUUGUUCGGAAUCACUGGGCGUAAAGGGUGCGUAGGCGGAUUCUUAAGUCAGGGGUGAAAUCCCGAGGCUCAACCUCGGAACUGCCUUUGAUACUGGGGAUCUUGAGUCCGGAAGAGGUGAGUGGAACUGCGAGUGUAGAGGUGAAAUUCGUAGAUAUUCGCAAGAACACCGGUGGCGAAGGCGGCUCACUGGUCCGGAACUGACGCUGAGGCACGACAGCGUGGGGAGCAAACAGGAUUAGAUACCCCAGUAGUCCCUGUCUCUUAUAC